Callorhinus ursinus (northern fur seal) is the source of this 5436-nucleotide RNA transcript. It is a transcript of the gene named molybdenum cofactor synthesis 2, with no coding region annotated. The record is from RefSeq and is a predicted model, not a curated record. NCBI's taxonomy places the organism in Eukaryota, Metazoa, Chordata, Mammalia, Carnivora, Otariidae.
GUGAGGCACGCUCACAGGUGCAUCUGCCCCCUUUCCUUCCUCCCUCCACAGACCCGGCCCUGCUCAGCCGGAUCCUCAUCGAAGCCACCUUAGUUGAGUCUUUCGUCCGGUGCCGCGCCCACUACCACCAGUGUUGCCCCUCCGGGCUGCGGAAGCUUUACUUCGGCUGCCUGAAAGAAGGUCAAGUUCUGUCCGCGAACUCUUGGUCUCCGAGGUGACGGCGUCAGAGGUUUCUAAAGUCACCCUCGACUUCGCCCCCAUGCUUCUAUGAUUAUACGUUUUGGCAAAGACAGUUUUCAAGUUCAUGCAUUUAACUAAGAGUUCUUGUGAAAAAAGGUGCUUCGUAUAUGCAUUUGCAAACCCUUGAUUAUUUGCAAACCUCUAUUUCGUAGAGAAUAAUUUGCACACUGGCACAGGUUGAAGUGUUAUAUUUUGCAAAAAGUGCUGAGAUAGCAGGAAUUCGCUCGGAGACCAUUUCUGUGCCACAGGAAAUAAAAGCAUUGCAGCUGUGGAAUGAGAUAGAAGCACGACAUCCUGGAUUGGCUGAUGUCAGAAAUCAGGUGAUAUUUGCUGUCCGUCAAGAAUAUGUCGAGCUUGGAGAUCAACUCCUCCAGCUUCGGUCGGGGGACGAAAUUGCCAUUAUCCCCCCCAUUAGUGGAGGGUAGUGGUCAUGAGCCACUUGGGGAAGAUCUGAAGGAAGUUGAAGAGUCAGCUAAGGAGAUAAUAAAAUUCACCACUGAGAAGCUGUCCAUAGAUGAAGCCUCACAGUUGGUGAUUUCUCCACUCUGUGGUGCAGUAUCCCUGUUUGUAGGGACUACAAGAAAUAACUUUGAAGGGAAAAAAGUCAUUAGCUUAGAAUAUGAAGCAUAUCUCCCAAUGGCAGAAAAUGAAAUCAGAAAGAUCUGUAGUGACAUUCGGCAGAAAUGGCCAGUCAAACACAUAGCAGUGUUUCAUAGACUUGGCUUAGUUCCAGUGUCAGAAGCAAGCAUUAUCAUUGCUGUGUCCUCAGCCCAUAGGGCUGCAUCCCUCCAAGCUGUGAGCUAUGCCAUUGAUACUUUAAAAGCCAAGGUGCCCAUAUGGAAAAAGGAAAUGUAUGAAGAAUCAUCAUCAUCUUGGAAAAGAAACAAAGAAUGCUUUUGGACAGCCAGUGAUUAAGUCACACAUUUUUUUAAGAAUACUAAAAUUAAAUUUGUUGUAUUUUCAUGUACAAUGCAUACCAGACACACUCACUGGUGGUAGUUCCGUGGUAAGCCACCCUGACAGCUUGGUUCACCAGGACUGAGAUGGGCAAGGUUGAGGAAGGCGUUUGAGAGGUCACCUGAUCUGGGAAUGGGAGACGUUUGUGCAUCGAUGUAGAUGGAAGCAUGUGCUACCCAACCUUUGCAUUAAUGUGCCAUCUGUACAGUGAAGGCCAGUCGAAAGAAUCACUGCCAUUUCCUCCACCAAGUAUAUUAAGAAUAUUAAGAGCUGCAUUUUGGGGGAAAACAAGUCGACAAAACCCAAUUUAUUGAUUGAUUUAACAUUACAUUACAGUGGCAGAUGAGCCAUCACAGAAUUUCUGAGUUGGGCUGAACUUUAUCUUGCCUUUUGGUAAUUAUAUUUCUUUUCAUUUAUAUUUUCAAGAGCUAAAAUAAGGUUUUACAAUUUAGGAAUGAAGUAACUGACUUAAUGGCAGUCAUACCUUUACUCUUCAUUCCAGAAUUUCCCAGUUUGGGGUCCAUGGAGCCAAAGGGAUCCAUGAGUAUAAAAAUUUUUAUAUCAGAUUUUUAAAUGGACUGGGAUUCAAAUAAAUUUAAGAAUCGCUCAUCUACCUAAAGGGAUAUGCCAGUUAAUUAUCUGGAUUCCAAAUAUUAUUCAAAAAAUUAUCCAGAUUAUUUGGAUUAAAAAUGUAUUUUCAUGGACAAGGAAUAGUUGGCCUUUGUUAUUUAUCAGUAUUGACAAGAGAAAAUCAAGAAAAAAUCUAAAGCGUUCAUUAAAAUUGUUAGAUAAAUGUAUUGAAAAUUGAAAUAGUGCUUUCUGAAAAAAAUAAAGACCUCGGCAGAUGUUCAGAGGGUCUGAACACUACAUUUUUUAAAAAAUGAACUUUCAAAAUAUCUAUAGUACUUCUAAGUUCAUAAUACUUUGAAUUUGAAGUCCACAUUUCCUUUGGCUCCAUUUCUGAUUUUCCACAUCCCAGCCUCUGAAGAGAGGGUGUGGGCCUUUGCUGAGGGUCGUAAGCCCAGGGCCGAACAGCAUCCUUUCUUGGAAUCCUUUCUCCUGGGACCAGAGUGGGCCACCAGUGCUGUGAGCCCUACUCUCAAGGAUUGAGAGAGGUCCAGAGUUCACAGGGCCGUUGGCUUUUUAAUGGCUACAACAGUGGACUGAGGCCAGCUGCCAGGCUGGUUUUGGGGCAGAGUCUUAAACUGGGGCUUCCAUUUGUUAACAAAAGCAUUGGGAGGAAAAUGCUCAGCCAGCAAAUUAGCUGAGCUUGGAAGUCCCACUAUAUCUAAAUAUGGCCUAUUCCAACCAGAGGUUCACUGCAAAGGAAAGUUGUCCUGUGCCAGCCCUUGGAACAGUGAGCCUUUGUUUCCUCUGAAAGUACAUUUCUUCGUAAGAUUUUUUUUUUUUAAGUCAAGGGGAACAUUCAUAGUUUUCUAGAGUAUAAGAACUCAUGAAUGGACACUUCACACAGUGCCGGUAUCUAGCUAUAAGGAAUACUAAAAAACAAAAACAAACCCCCCCAACCCUCUAAUAAAUGCCUUAAGGCUACUUAAGCACUUCUCUUUAAACAAUAAAAUAAAAUAUGUGAUUCAAAUAAGCCUGACUUGAAUGUCAUAGCCUAAGAUGUAGACUGUGCUGUGAAAGCAAGAAGAGAAAGGAAGAGCUGCUUGAGGCCUGGAUUAAGGAGCCACAAACAGCAGGAGCCCCUUUUGUUGUGCCUCGCAGUGGACUGUCCCUUCUGAUGCAGCUUCGCCAACACGGGAUGGGGGCCGUCGGGGAGUGUGGAGGGCGAGCAUAUCACUGAACAUUUUAGAGUAAAGUAGCAAACAACUUUGCCAAUAAGCCUAACGUAAUAAACUUAGGUUUUUAGAGUUUCACUAAGAAACUUGUACAGACGUGUAGGUGAGAAGAGCCACUAUUAAGUUUUCAGAAAGGAAGGCCUAUCAGAGACUAGUGCCCGCUGGGGUGACAGGAUGUGCUCACCGUGACUGUGUUUUCUUCAAUCACAUAUAUCUGAGGGUUAUAGGUGUCAAUUUCUGCAGAUGCGCUCAGCUGUACGGUCUGGAAAGUUGACUGGAACAUAAGAAUAAAGAAUAGGUUUUAUCCUAGCAGAAGUUCACACACACAACUUUGGCAUGUUUAUUAUUUAUUUCCUUGUGGAAAAUGUCAAGAGCAAAGGGCUCCUAUGAAGCCCCAAGAAUCUUUAUGUUCCUAAAUCGGUGAUAUGUGUAGGACCGCACAUGGGAAGCAGCUGGGGAACUGAAAACAUGUGGAUACCUGGGCCAUAAUAGCAAAUUAAACCAAAUCUUGGGAGUGGGGGUGAAGUUCAGGCAUCAGCAGUUUUUAAUUGGGAAAAUCAUGGUUCAGAUUUUUAAAAACUUUAUGAAGUUUUCAUCAUGAGGGAAAAUUGCAAGCUUGAGUUUAUAUAUUUACCUGAAUAAGUCAAAUAAUGGAAUGGAAAAUCAGAAUAAAAACAGUAAAAGUACACUUAAACUUGAUCAUGCAUGUCAGCAGCAGACACCCUGAACCUUUUGUCAAGCUACAUAAUGAGUAAUAAUUUCAGGUUUCUAAGUGUUUGUAUAAAAUACUGGAUUUGGGACAGGCAUAUAGGAAGGACACAUUUUAUGCUGUUACUAGUAACCAUGUAAUAUGAAAUAACUUUACACGUAUUCCUGGACCUACUUAGAGAAAAAUGAUUUUUCAAUGGAUACAUUAUUGAUGUGUAUUUUGUUUUUUCUCUAAUGCAAAUGUUGGGACUGAUGCUUACUUUGAAAUAGCAUACAAUGCCCAGAUUUAGAACUGCCUUCCUAUGCUCUGGCUACUAGGAUUCAGUUUUUCUGGUUACCAAGGCACAUAUUUCAACAUACUUCAUGAGGUGAUUUGCUAAAUUAUAUCUGGGAGCCAGAAAAAGAAUGCAUAUCCAAAAAGUGAGCAAUUUAUUUCCUUUCCCCCGGCUUAGUAUGAUUAGUUUUAAUUUUCUCAAGAUGGAAGAUUGCAUCAGAAGUGAAGCCUGAUCCCUCAUGUCUUAAGCACACAUUAUUGGGGAAACAUUCACAGUAUUGAUAAUGGUCUCUUUUAAAAAGAAAAAUAGCAUUUAAAUGAUGCUGGUUUCAGAGUCCCUGUAGACUAAAAAGAAUUUCUUCACAACAAUGAUCUGCCCUCCCAAGCCUGCCCCUUUGCAUAGCCGUGCACACGAUAUCCUGUUAACUGGGGUAGUUACACCACACGAACCUGGGAGAGUGAAGUAAGACACCUGCUAGCACUCACAAGGCUCUGCCUUACAAACCGCAGCCAACCAUGCCACUGAUGCAGAGGCCUGAGCAAUCACUUUGUAACGAAAUUAGGGAAAUGUUUACUUGCAGUGCAUCAGAAAAAGGGUGAAAGGCAGUAUGCUAAUGGACUCUACUACAGGAAAUGAGAUUUGUAUUUCAGACUGGAUCUCCUAGGUGGCCAGAGAACAUCCAUUUGACUGUUGAAAUAGCUGAAAACAAGGUAGGAAUAAACAUUUGACCUUUUCAUGGAGGAGGAAGAUGUGUGGGACUCGACAGACACUCUCAUGGGGUUUUUCAGCUCAUCCAUAACCACUGAAAAAGCAUAAAUAUACUUCUUCAGAAAUUUGCUCCCAGAAAUGAGACUGCUGCUCCUAACAACGUUUGGGAAGGUACUUUUAAAAGUCUUACAGUUAAAAUAAUGUAGUUUUAAAGAAACUCAAGAAAACCCAAAUGGCUUUUUACAGAGCCAGCAUGAUUGCAUUUUGAUUUGCAACAGUUUUCCUUCCCAGCUGGCAAGGUUGCUAAGGAAAACAUUUGUUCCUCAAAUCCAAGGCUUAGACAAGAACCAAUUGGUGAAAUCUGGCACCAAACUGUAUCAGCUGGGACAGUGGUCUAAUUCACCGCAUGCUUCCCAUCUUCUAGGAUUUAGAGGGGUCUGAAAGGCUUGAAAGCAAAUGUAACCAACAACAAAAUAAAAGCAAGCAGGAGGAAAACCCAGUUCCUCACUCCUACACUCUCCCACUUCUCUGUUCCCCUCCCUCUCACUGUUCCUCUUUUUAUUAUGUCUUUAUCCAAGAAUAUUGCUCAUAUUUUGGUUCCAGGGAUAAGUUCGGAGGGAACUUAGUCCUCUAAUCUUAAAACUCCAUAGCAGGGAAAAUGGGGUUGUUGGAGAGAUCAUGAAAUGGUUAGAAAAUAGGGAAUGGACUGUGGUUGGUAAGCACCUUGACGAGUCAUUAUUCGUUUA